This 1273-nucleotide long non-coding RNA is filed under the name Daucus carota (carrot). RNAcentral describes it as "long non-coding RNA (DCAR_LNC000418)". The record is from RNAcentral. Lineage: Eukaryota; Viridiplantae; Streptophyta; Magnoliopsida; Apiales; Apiaceae.
CCAAUGAAAUGCCUAUUUUAAAGGUCAGAUGAAAUAAGGAGCAGAGAUACCAAAGAGUAUCACUGGAUCAUUGAAAUGAGGGUCACUUGUGUUAGGUAUCAGCCCAUUACAAGGUAACAUGGACUUUGGUGAUCCAAAAUAUAUAUAAGGAUAAUAAUUGUAUGUUUAGACAAUUAUUAUAAGAUAUGUCUUGGUCACAAAGAUAGAAGACCUAGUUGGAAUUGGAUUCUGAUUUGAGUUGAAGAUUUAAGAAUUGGAUUUCAAUUGCAGUUAGGUAUUUCAGAUUUAGAGUUAGAUUCUGAUUUGUCUAGUUUGAGAUGGCUAUAUAUACAUAGUCAUAUUGUGUUUGAUAGGUGUGCUCAAGAUGUAGACUUAGGUAUCGCUCGAGGGCGGAUACUUGGGUAGUAGGCUUGAGUAUCCAAGUUUAGUUUGAUUGUAUUAUUGAUAAUGGUUUUGAUUAAUAAUACAAGUUGGGACGUGGAUUUUCCACGUCAAAUAUAUUGUUGUGUGUCCGCUUUGUAUUAGAAGAUUGAAUCUCGUAUAUUAUCUCUAACAAGUGGUAUCAAGAGCCGAGGUUAGGAUCGUGAUUGAUGGGGUUGAGGAUAAAUUCGGGAUUCAAUCGAGAAUGCAGAGUAUGGUGAAUUUUGUUAGCAGGAAUAGGCAAAGUUACGUGCGGUAUGAUGGUUGACUUGCACCGUGGAUCAAUCAUGAUGGACUCAAUAUGGAAGAAGAUUAGAUGGUUCUUCUAGAUCGAGGCCGGAGGAUUGUGAAAGCAAGGAUCGGGUGACUCAUGGAUGGAAGAGCACUCGGGGUUGAUGCACGUGAUUUUGUAGAUGGAUAAAAUUUGGAAGAACGAGACAUGGAGAUUCUUGUUCGAGGGGAGGCAUUGGCGGAUGGACGUCGAUGUCUUGAUCGUGAUUGUUGAUUGUAUUGGGCUGAAGGGGAGGAUUGUUAGGUAUCAGCCCAUUACAAGGUAACAUGGACUUUGGUGAUCCAAAAUAUAUAAGGAUAAUAAUUAUAUGUUUAGACAAUUAUUAUAAGAUAUGUCUUGGUCACAAAGAUAGAAGACCUAGUUGGAAUUGGAUUCUGAUUUGAGUUGAAGAUUCAGAAUUGGAUUUCAAUUGCAGUUAGGUAUUUCAGAGUUAGAGUUAGAUUCUGAUUUGUCUAAUUUGAGAUUGCUAUAUAUACAUAGUCAUAUUGUGUUUGAUAGGUGUGCUCAAGAUGUAGACUUAGGUAUCGCUCGAGGGCGGAUACUUGGUUAGUAGGCUUGAGU